AGCAGCCGCGGUAAUUCCAGCUCCAAUAGCGUAUAUUAAAGUUGUUGCAGUUAAAAAGCUCGUAGUUGAAUUUCGGGAUCAAUUUGUUGGUCGUGCCUCGGUACGUACUGGCAUUAUUGGUUUCUACCUUCUGAAGAACCUUGAUGUCAUUAAUUUGGUGUCUUGGGGAAUCAGGACUGUUACUUUGAAAAAAUUAGAGUGUUUAAAGCAGGCAUACGCUUGAAUACAUUAGCAUGGAA
Molecule: ribosomal RNA, 239 nt
Filed under: uncultured Glomus
Lineage: Eukaryota; Fungi; Glomeromycota; Glomeromycetes; Glomerales; Glomeraceae
Description: partial 18S ribosomal RNA
Rfam family: Eukaryotic small subunit ribosomal RNA
Source: RNAcentral